GAGUUUGAUCCUGGCUCAAGAUGAACGCUGGCGGCGUGCUUAACACAUGCAAGUCGAACGGAACUGUCAUUUUUGAAGCAAUUAGCUUGCUAAGGGUGGAAAUGUUGGCAGUUUAGUGGCGGACGGGUGAGUAACGCGUGGGUAACCUGCCUUGCACUGGGGGAUAACACUUAGAAAUAGGUGCUAAUACCGCAUAAGCGCACGGGACCGCAUGGUCUUGUGUGAAAAACUCCGGUGGUGCAAGAUGGACCCGCGUCUGAUUAGCUGGUUGGCGGGGUAACGGCCCACCAAGGCGACGAUCAGUAGCCGGACUGAGAGGUUGGCCGGCCACAUUGGGACUGAGACACGGCCCAGACUCCUACGGGAGGCAGCAGUGGGGAAUAUUGGGCAAUGGGCGCAAGCCUGACCCAGCAACGCCGCGUGAAGGAAGAAAGCUUUCGGGUUGUAAACUUCCUUUGUCAGGGACGAAGCAAGUGACGGUACCUGACGAAUAAGCCACGGCUAACUACGUGCCAGCAGCCGCGGUAAUACAUAGGUGGCAAGCGUUAUCCGGAUUUACUGGGUGUAAAGGGCGUGUANGCAAGACUGCAAGUCAAAUGUGAAAACCCCGGGCUCCACCUGGGGCCCGGAUUUGAAACUGUAAUUCCUGAGAUACGGAGAAGGCCAACGGAAAUCCCAUUGUAACCGUGGAACGGCAGGU
Molecule: ribosomal RNA, 700 nt
Filed under: uncultured bacterium
Lineage: Bacteria
Description: bacterial SSU rRNA
Rfam family: Bacterial small subunit ribosomal RNA
Source: RNAcentral